AUGGCUCCCAACUUCGGCCGGUCCAUCUCCUUCCCUCUCACCCCGGUGAGGUCAUUCUCAAAGUCGUCCCGCCACCUCCGCUCCGUCAGCUUCCCCGGCACCACCUCCUCCCACCCGUUCCUCGCCGACCUCCACGCCCACAUCGCCGCCAUCCGCGCCUGGAUCCAGGACACGGCCGCGGCGAACUCCUCCCUACGGGCCGGCCUCGCCGCCAUACACGUGUUGCAUGCCAUGCUCGCCGACCUCCUCAUCCUCCCAGAGUCCAGGGCCGCACUUCAGUGCACCACCAGCAAGGCCGCCGACAGCCUCCUCGACGCUUUCCUCCUCCUUGCCGACGCGCACCAGGGCUUCCAAGAGUGCCUCAUGUCGCUCAGCCACGCGGUGGCCGAGUCCCGCGUUGCGCUCCGCAGGGGCGAUGCCACGAGGCUUGCGUCUGCCGCCAGGUCCCAGCACCGGGCUGAGAAGGUCCUCGCUCGCCUGGCCGCGUCCGUCUCCGCCGUCUCCUCCAAAUGCGCCCGCCUGAACCUCGUCGGUGAGGAUGCAGAGAUGGUCGGUGCGAUGGUGGAGGCAGUCAAUGUCAGUGUCGCGGCCUCUGCGGCCGUGUUCUUGGCUGUCGCGUCAAUGUCGUCGACGGCGUCCUCUUGCAAGCAGAUGGCGAUGUUUAUUCCUAAGUUCGCCACCCGGAAGGCCACCGCUCCGGAGACGGCAGAGGCGGCCAUGGAGAGACUGCAUGUGCUGGAGCGGUGCUUCGACGAGUGCGAUGAUGCCUGCAACAGGGUGUUCAGGAGCGUCGUGCAUGCUAGGGUUUCACUUCUCAACAUCAUGACGCCCACGAUCUAG
RNAcentral lists this ribosomal RNA (840 nucleotides) under Triticum aestivum (bread wheat). RNAcentral's name for it is "partial small subunit ribosomal RNA". The record is from RNAcentral. Lineage: Eukaryota; Viridiplantae; Streptophyta; Magnoliopsida; Poales; Poaceae.